Molecule: long non-coding RNA, 405 nt
Organism: Chroicocephalus ridibundus (black-headed gull)
Lineage: Eukaryota; Metazoa; Chordata; Aves; Charadriiformes; Laridae
Exons: 3
Source: RefSeq, a predicted model, not a curated record
CGGGCCGGGCCGCGGCGCUCUGGAAGCGGAGGGGGCCGGGGGAAAAUGGCGGCCAGCUCCAAAGCGGAGCGGGGCAGCCCGGGCGGAAAGCGGGGCCCGGCGGGCAGGUGCUUGGCCAGCGUGGCCGCUGCGAGCAUGUCAUGAGGUAGCUGGACCGCGUCAAGAACGUCAACUGCCAGUGUUUCUCCACAGUCACCCUUUCUUCUGCCACGACAGUACAGGACAGAUGGAAAGGAUCCGGAGUGCUCUGCAUUCCCACGAAUCAUCAGCAGCCUCAUAACUAGUGAUGGCGAGUCCUGAUGUGGUUUUGGUGAGUUGUUGCUUGCAUCAUGUCCUUUGUCUGUAACCUGCGGACAUUUUGACGUCGGUUGUAAAUUGAUUUUCUGAAAUGGAAAUGUUUCUUGC